RNAcentral lists this ribosomal RNA (303 nucleotides) under Rickettsia africae. RNAcentral's name for it is "partial 23S ribosomal RNA". The record is from RNAcentral. Lineage: Bacteria; Pseudomonadati; Pseudomonadota; Alphaproteobacteria; Rickettsiales; Rickettsiaceae.
GCUAACCGAUACUAAUAGCUCGAUUGAUUUACUUUGCUGUGAGAUUACAUAUGCAUAUAGUGUUAAUGCUAUAAGAGUGUAGUAUCUACUCACAAAGUUAUCAGGUUAAAUAGUUUUAUCAACUAAUAAAAAUGUUAUUGCAUAAUUAAUGUUAUACUGUAGCCCUGCCACGAUAUCCAGCGAAAAUUAUUUUGAUGAGUAUCGGUAGUGAAAGUUAAGAUUAAGAUAUGAUGUUGAGAAUUUUUUUGAGUCGUGCAACAACAUUAACAGCAAACUAUAAUACAAAUCUAGCAUUUUGAAGAU